RNAcentral lists this ribosomal RNA (568 nucleotides) under uncultured bacterium. RNAcentral describes it as "bacterial SSU rRNA". It matches the Rfam family "Bacterial small subunit ribosomal RNA", at positions 338 to 916 of the family's 1533-position model. The record is from RNAcentral.
CCUACGGGAGGCAGCAGUGGGGAAUAUUGCACAAUGGGCGAAAGCCUGAUGCAGCGACGCCGCGUGAGGGAUGGCGGCCUUCGGGUUGUAAACCUCUUUCAGCAGGGAAGAAGCGAGAGUGACGGUACCUGCAGAAGAAGCGCCGGCUAACUACGUGCCAGCAGCCGCGGUAAUACGUAGGGCGCAAGCGUUGUCCGGAAUUAUUGGGCGUAAAGAGCUCGUAGGCGGCUUGUUGCGUCGGUUGUGAAAGCCCGGGGCUUAACCCCGGGUCUGCAGUCGAUACGGGCAGGCUAGAGUGUGGUAGGGGAGAUCGGAAUUCCUGGUGUAGCGGUGAAAUGCGCAGAUAUCAGGAGGAACACCGGUGGCGAAGGCGGAUCUCUGGGCCAUUACUGACGCUGAGGAGCGAAAGCGUGGGGAGCGAACAGGAUUAGAUACCCUGGUAGUCCACGCCGUAAACGUUGGGAACUAGGUGUUGGCGACAUUCCACGUCGUCGGUGCCGCAGCUAACGCAUUAAGUUCCCGCCUGGGGAGUACGGCCGCAAGGCUAAAACUCAAAUGAAAUUGACGG